RNAcentral lists this ribosomal RNA (425 nucleotides) under uncultured bacterium. Its description in RNAcentral is "bacterial SSU rRNA". It matches the Rfam family "Bacterial small subunit ribosomal RNA", at positions 355 to 796 of the family's 1533-position model. The record is from RNAcentral.
CAGGGAAUAUUGCACAAUGGGCGAAAGCCUGAUGCAGCAACGCCGCGUGAGGGAUGAAGGUCUUCGGAUUGUAAACCUCUUUUACAGGGGACGAGUGAGGACGGUACCCUGUGAAUAAGCAACGGCUAACUACGUGCCAGCAGCCGCGGUAAUACGUAGGUUGCGAGCGUUAUUCGGAUUUACUGGGCGUAAAGAGCACCGAGGUGGCUUCUUAAGUUGGAUGUGAAAUCUCCUGGCUUAACCGGGAGGCGCCAUUCAAAACUGGGGAGCUUGAGGUCAGCAGGGGAAGGUGGAAUUCCCGGUGUAGUGGUGGAAUGCGUAGAGAUCGGGAGGAACACCAGUGGCGAAAGCGACCUUCUGGGCUGCACCUGACACUCUAGUGCGAAAGCGUGGGGAGCAAACAGGAUUAGAUACCCCCGUAGUCC